GCUGUUUAGCAGGUGGUAGCGCCCAGCUGCCCUUGGAAGCUAAGUAAGAUAUGGCCUAGUCAGUAUUUGAGUGGGAAACUACUAAAGAAUCUAGUACUGUACACCA
This 106-nucleotide ribosomal RNA is filed under the name Notechis scutatus (mainland tiger snake). The record is from RNAcentral. Lineage: Eukaryota; Metazoa; Chordata; Lepidosauria; Squamata; Elapidae.